Small nucleolar RNA from Panicum virgatum (switchgrass), 139 nucleotides. RefSeq annotates it as small nucleolar RNA Z247. NCBI's taxonomy places the organism in Eukaryota, Viridiplantae, Streptophyta, Magnoliopsida, Poales, Poaceae. The transcript has a single exon. The record is from RefSeq and is a predicted model, not a curated record.
CGGCUUGAUGAUGAAGAAGUCGAGUCGUACAUCCUCUCCGGCCUCGACAUCGAAUGCAAUCUUGUGGUGUCGGCUGUUGCGGCUCGUACCGAGCCGAUCACUCUUGGUGAGUUAUUCACACAACUUUCCGCCUUUGAGC